RNAcentral lists this ribosomal RNA (252 nucleotides) under uncultured bacterium. RNAcentral describes it as "partial 16S ribosomal RNA". It matches the Rfam family "Bacterial small subunit ribosomal RNA", at positions 524 to 776 of the family's 1533-position model. The record is from RNAcentral.
UACGGAGGAUGCGAGCGUUAUCCGGAUUUCUUGGGUUUAAAGGGUGCGUAGGCGGACGCUUAAGUCAGCGGUAAAAUUGCGGGGCUCAACCUCGUCGAGCCGUUGAAACUGGGUGCCUUGAGUGGGCGAGAAGUACGCGGAAUGCGUGGUGUAGCGGUGAAAUGCAUAGAUAUCACGCAGAACUCCGAUUGCGAAGGCAGCGUACCGGCGCCCAACUGACGCUGAAGCACGAAGGCGUGGGUAUCGAACAGG